RNAcentral lists this ribosomal RNA (751 nucleotides) under uncultured Comamonadaceae bacterium. RNAcentral describes it as "bacterial SSU rRNA". It matches the Rfam family "Bacterial small subunit ribosomal RNA", at positions 28 to 776 of the family's 1533-position model. The record is from RNAcentral. Lineage: Bacteria; Pseudomonadati; Pseudomonadota; Betaproteobacteria; Burkholderiales; Comamonadaceae.
AUUGAACGCUGGCGGCAUGCCUUACAUAUGCAAGUCGAACGGUAACAGGUCUUCGGAUGCUGACGAGUGGCGAACGGGUGAGUAAUACAUCGGAACGUGCCCGAUCGUGGGGGAUAACGAAGCGAAAGCUUUGCUAAUACCGCAUAAGAUCUACGGAUGAAAGCAGGGGACCGCAAGGCCUUGCGCGAACGGAGCGGCCGAUGGCAGAUUAGGUAGUUGGUGGGAUAAAAGCUUACCAAGCCGACGAUCUGUAGCUGGUCUGAGAGGACGACCAGCCACACUGGGACUGAGACACGGCCCAGACUCCUACGGGAGGCAGCAGUGGGGAAUUUUGGACAAUGGGCGAAAGCCUGAUCCAGCCAUGCCGCGUGCAGGAUGAAGGCCUUCGGGUUGUAAACUGCUUUUGUACGGAACGAAAAGACUCUGGUUAAUACCUGGGGACCAUGACGGUACCGUAAGAAUAAGCACCGGCUAACUACGUGCCAGCAGCCGCGGUAAUACGUAGGGUGCAAGCGUUAAUCGGAAUUACUGGGCGUAAAGCGUGCGCAGGCGGUUAUAUAAGACAGAUGUGAAAUCCCCGGGCUCAACCUGGGAACUGCAUUUGUGACUGUAUAGCUAGAGUACGGCAGAGGGGGAUGGAAUUCCGCGUGUAGCAGUGAAAUGCGUAGAUAUGCGGAGGAACACCGAUGGCGAAGGCAAUCCCCUGGGCCUGUACUGACGCUCAUGCACGAAAGCGUGGGGAGCAAACAGG